GUCGAACGCUGGCGGCAUGCCUAAUACAUGCAAGUAGAACGCAGUUGCGAACGGGUGUGUAAAGCGUAGGUAACCGCCUCAUAGCGGGGGAUAAAUAUUUGAAACGAUAGCUAAUAACGCAUUCUGUGAGAUGGACCUGCGUUGUAUUAGCUAGUUGGAGAGGUAAAGGCCCACCAAGGCGACGAUACAUACCCGACCUGGGAGGGAGAUCGGGCAAACUGGGACUGGGACACGGGCCAGAACCCUAAGGGAGGCAGCAGUUGGGAAUGUUCGGAAAUGGACGGAAGUCUGGCCGAAGAACGGCGGGUGAGUGAAGAAGGUUUUCGGGUUGUAAAGCUAUGUUGUUAGAGAAGCGUUAACUGACCAGAAAGGGACGGCUAACUACGUGCCAGCAGCCGCGGUAAUUC
This 407-nucleotide ribosomal RNA is filed under the name uncultured bacterium. Its description in RNAcentral is "partial 16S ribosomal RNA". It matches the Rfam family "Bacterial small subunit ribosomal RNA", at positions 28 to 526 of the family's 1533-position model. The record is from RNAcentral.